Molecule: ribosomal RNA, 165 nt
Filed under: uncultured bacterium
Lineage: Bacteria
Description: partial 16S ribosomal RNA
Rfam family: Bacterial small subunit ribosomal RNA
Source: RNAcentral
CAGCAGCCGCGGUAAACGUAGGAGGCGAGCGUUAUCCGGAAUUACUGGGCGUGAAGAGCUCGUAGGCGGCCUAUUAAGUCAGGUGUGAAAUCUCCCGGCUCAACUGGGAGGGGACAUUUGAAACUGGUAGGCUUGAGGGCAGCAGAGGGAAGUGGAAUUCCCGGU